UACUAUCGGCUACGAAAACUUAAAUUGC
RNAcentral lists this small RNA (28 nucleotides) under Bombyx mori (domestic silkworm). Its description in RNAcentral is "piRNA piR-bmo-1626910". Lineage: Eukaryota; Metazoa; Arthropoda; Insecta; Lepidoptera; Bombycidae. The record is from RNAcentral.